AGAGUUUGAUCCUGGCUCAGAACGAACGCUGGCGGCGUGGAUAAGACAUGCAAGUCGGACGAGAUUUUUCGUUGUAGCAAUACGAUGAAAAGUCUAGUGGCGAACGGGUGCUUAACACGUGGGCAAUCUGUCUUAAAGUGGGGGAUAGCUCGGCGAAAGCCGAAUUAAUACCGCAUGUGAUUAGAGUGGACAUCCAUUCGAAAUUAAAGGUGGCGCAAGCUACCGCUUUUUGAGGAGCCCGCGGCCUAUCAGCUUGUUGGUGAGGUAACGGCUCACCAAGGCUUUGACGGGUAGCUGGUCUGAGAGGACGACCAGCCACACUGGGACUGAGACACGGCCCAGACACCUACGGGUGGCAGCAGUCGAGAAUUUUUCUCAAUGGGGGAAACCCUGAAGGAGCGACGCCGCGUGGAGGAUGAAGGUCUUCGGAUUGUAAACUCCUGUCAUUGGGGAACAAGUCGCUUACGUUAACUGCGUGAGCGUUGAUAGUACCCGAAGAGGAAGAGACGGCUAACUCUGUGCCAGCAGCCGCGGUAAUACAGAGGUCUCAAGCGUUGUUCGGAUUCAUUGGGCGUAAAGGGUGCGUAGGCGGCGCGGUAAGUCGGGUGUGAAAUCUCGGAGCUUAACUCCGAAACUGCAUUCGAUACUGCCGUGCUUGAGGACUGGAGAGGAGACUGGAAUUUACGGUGUAGCGGUGAAAUGCGUAGAUAUCGUAAGGAAGACCAGUGGCGAAGGCGGGUCUCUGGACAGUUCCUGACGCUGAGGCACGAAGGUCAGGGGAGCAAACGGGAUUAGAUACCCUAGUAGUCC
Molecule: ribosomal RNA, 810 nt
Filed under: uncultured bacterium
Lineage: Bacteria
Description: bacterial SSU rRNA
Rfam family: Bacterial small subunit ribosomal RNA
Source: RNAcentral